Long non-coding RNA from Paramacrobiotus metropolitanus, 2515 nucleotides. RefSeq lists it as uncharacterized. Lineage: Eukaryota; Metazoa; Tardigrada; Eutardigrada; Parachela; Macrobiotidae. The transcript has 3 exons. The record is from RefSeq and is a predicted model, not a curated record.
GUAAACGUAAACAGUACCCGACAUAUAAGAAAUCCAGUUCCGGUUUAGUUGUGCAAAUUGUUUUUGGCGAAAUACAAAAUUAAUACUAUUGGGGAAACCCAAAGUCCCGUAACCAACAUUUGUCAUACUUUUUAACAUUGAAUGUUUGUUUAACAGAAUAUUAACUUUUCUGGACAGCUUUGGCAAAUUAUUUAAGCAUUGUGACCUUUUGUUAUAUUAUACUCGGCUAAUUGUAAAAUGUCUCGUUUGAUCAAAUUUCUGAAUAUUGGAGUAGGCACGCUAAUCAUUAGCUGCUUGAGCAUCAAUGCAUUGACGACCCCUUUGAACGGCUCCAGAGGAAAUUUAAACCUUCCUAAUGUGCGAUGCUUUGUGCGCGAAAACUAUCGGAUUCCUCAAGCAGGAAAAAUUGUGGUGGUAUUUCAUAACGCUGGAAACUGCACGUGCCAAGGGGCCGCGGAUCAAGCCAGCAUUCGACGUGGAAUCGCCGAUUUUGUCCCACAGUGCAUUUCCGGUGGUACCGGGUUUAACAAAACGCAGAAAUGGAAUUUCAUGAAUCAAUGGUGGUGUGUGGAUCAAACUGGAAAUCCCCGUACUGAACCCGCAGACAUCAAGCCAGAUCUCAUACCGAGAUGUUGACCGCCACCACCACGAUACAGCUGAAAAUGCUUGGAAGUUUAACGAUGGGUUCUUUCAUUUUAUAUUUAUAUAUAGAAUGUAAAUUAUAUUAUGUAGAUAGCAAGCUUUAAUAAAGCUUUGCGAUAAAAAAUUACUUAUAACAUAAACAAUCUCAUGAUGUGAUUACAUAUAAAAGUACUCGUCAAUUUAAGUCGUUGUCUGCGUUUGACCGCAUCAGGCCGGCAGGUAUAAAGGAAAAGCGCCUAAAUUUGACUGAAUGAUAGUGAAUACUACGUAUAUUGAUUUAUACUUCUUUAUAUCUGUAGUAUAAAAAGGGUCACCUUGAUAUAAUAUAAUUCACAAAUUCCGCUCUUCCAAAUUUCUUAUUGCUGCUGCCUUCUGUAAUUAGGGAAGCUGAUUUUUGGCAAGAAUGGAACGUGAAACAACGUUGGAUAAUAACUAAAUCUUGUGAGGUUUGCUUUUCAAUCCUUCUAGAUACUUCCGCACUUGAUGGAACGUGCGUAAUACUGGAUCAUAAAGUAUCACCGAAUUUAGUGAGCAGGCUGUGGUUACUCGCACACUAUCCAGAAAGGGCAGAAGGCAAAUAGUUAUGAAUAUUAUUAAAUUUUACUAUAUUUACACUGUACUUCUAUACACAGCAUUCGAACAAGACAGUCAGCAUAUAAGUCUGCAAUUGUGCGGUGAUAGAAGUUUUUUAUAUAUGGCGUGACCUUUAACGUACAUUUAUUGUUGAUAUUAUAAGCACGAAAGUUUUGUUUUCCGUGUAGCGGCAAUAUUGCGCUGUUUUUCAUUCAUACAUAAAACGCAUGCUUCCAGUGAACAACACUUGUAAGCUGCAUCAUAAUUUGCCUGUCAAAGCACUACUGAUCUGACUAAUCUGCCGAAUAAGCUCAAAACCUUAGUGUUAUUUCCAUAUCUUGACGCGUUCCUGGAACUUUUGACCAGUGAUGAUGGGUAAUUAUUUCUGAACCCGGAAUGUAUAAGAAGAAAAGCCACAUAAAUAUUGCAAAAUCAUAGAGCCGAAAAUUCUAUUGUGCAAAAUAUCGUAUAAAUUACUACUAAAGUGGAAGUCGGUCAAAUAUAUACUAGAACGCAUGCGAUACACAACUCUAGGUCUGUGAUAGUUUUGUCGGAAACUUUCCUACUGGACUCGCGGAUUUCAAUUUUUCAUUUAGUGGAUCAGCACAAAAACAUGGAACAACAGCGCAGGAUUUUAGUCAUCUGUGUUGUUGGACUCUCUUUCCAUGGCUUAGCAGCUGCACUCUGCUUUAGAACCGGUCUGAUAACUGUGACAACCGCAAAUGGACCCAGGGAGAUUUCGGGAUGGCAAAAUGUUGGCGGCUGUACAUGUGCGGAAGCUCGGGCAAGAGCUCUGAACGUCGAUAAGCGGACGGUUGGACAACUCACGCCUAAUUGCGACGACUCCAACCCCGACCGCUUCCAAGUGUACCAGCACUGGGGCGCUGUGGGAUCUGCGUGGUGUGUCGAUCCCGUAACGGGAAACCAGAAUUCAGAAACAAGGUUCCGAGGCGUCGGUAACAUUCCCUGCAUGCCUUCAGCUGCAUAACCACACUUCUGCUACGGAAAAUCAUACGUUGCUGCACUUGCGCGACUUUAUAUUGGUUCCUAAAGAUCAAACGAUUUUGCUUAAGAAAUUCAAACAAAAUCAUUGAUCCCGUCAGAUUUUGUUGUUUGUCGAGAUUAAAAGCCCAUUCCUUUAGCAUUAGUUUAGCUGCUUUAAUUUCUUUAGCUUGCUGCCGUUGCAACCACAAAAAUCGCAUAUUGAGUUUCCGUUGUCUCUGAUUACGUCUUUGCGUGCUAAUUGUUAGGAUGAUAAUCAUGUCGGUAAAUAGUCAAAUGAACAAGGAAAAAAUUUUAA